RNAcentral lists this long non-coding RNA (887 nucleotides) under Oryctolagus cuniculus (rabbit). RNAcentral's name for it is "lncRNA (ENSOCUG00000035480.1)". Lineage: Eukaryota; Metazoa; Chordata; Mammalia; Lagomorpha; Leporidae. The record is from RNAcentral.
CUGGGAUCCCAGGGGCUGGCGGGGUGCGGCCCGGGAGGGGGGCGACAGCUGCGCUGCCCUCCAUUUCCUGCUAAUCCAAGGAGGUUCCAAAAGAGAUCAAAAGACUCCUGUAACCCGAAACUUGCCUCUCAUCCCAACCUGGACGUGGCGGAGAGGUCCAGGCGGGGGCGGAGGCCCCGGAAGGCAGGUGGUCCGCGGAGGCGGGUGGGGAAGAAGCUGCGGGAGUGAGAAGUUUUGGUGGGGAAGGCGCUGGGGAUUAAGCGAGAAGUUAGAGGCGGCCGACGAGUGUGGUCGGGAGGGGAGGAGGGCGCGAGGCUGGAAGGGUGUAUAUAGUGUGGGCCGCGGAGACGGGGACUUGGCGCUCCGGGUCUCGGGACGCGCGUCCCUCUCCCGGGUCGCGCCGCGGAGCCAGCGAGAGGCGCCAACAAAAGCGGCGAGGCGGUGCCACCCCGGACCGCGGCAGGUAGAGGAGCCGGAGGAGGAGCGCGAGCCCACCGUCCCGAGCCGCCGUGCGUACUUUCUGGAGGGCAGGGCAGCGCGGGGGACUCGGCCCCGGGAGGGGGGACGCCCGCGGCGCGGGGGUGAGCCAAGUUCCGGCGGCGGCGGCGGCGGCGGCGGCUCUCCUCCGCUCCCACGAGAGGAAAGUUUCUGCAGACGCUUCCGGCCAGCCCGCGCCCUCCGGCCCAGCCUCCCGAGCCUUCGGAGCGGGCGUCGUCCCAGCCCAGCUCCGGGGAGAGCGAGCCGCGAUGCCUGGGGCGUGCUCCCGGGGCCCCGCCGCCGGGGACGGGCGGCUGCGGCUCGCGCGCCUGGCGCUGGUCCUCUUGGGCUGGGUCUCCUCGCCCUCUCCCACCUCCUCGGCGUCCUCCUCCACCUCCUCGGCGUCGUCC